CUUGUAUAUUGUGAUCAUUGUUUUGGGCUUAAACAUUGUUCUUGCAAUCCUUGUAGCUGACAGGUUUUCAGAUGCUAAAAGCCAUUUGGAUAAUGUUGAGAAGGAUGAAGAGAAAAAUUGUUUUAUUUGCAGCAUACCAAGAACUGAGUUUCAAAAGAAUAAAAAAGAUUUUCAAAAGCAUGUGAAAGAGGAGCAUAGCAUAUGGGAUUACAUACGCUUCAUUAUACAUGUGAAAGAUCAUCCUCAAAAUGAGCAUAAUGCUCUGGAGAAAUAUGUUUAUGAACAAGUCAAAGAUGAAGGUAAUGAAUCUAUUGAUUUCUUUCCACUGCAUAGAGCUAAAUCUUUACCACAUUAUAAGUAUCAGGACAGUGCAACUGAGGAACAGUCCACUCAGCUUCAACAAGCGUCAGAAGAACACAGGAGGCAGGGUUUAGUUGUGAGACAUGAGGUAGCCUGUCAAACAGAGGACAUACGACACAGUGUAGUCAGUCCAAUAGAGGACAUAAGAGAAGAAUCACCUUUUGAGCUCUGAUACUAGGGGCAUGGUCCAUACACCACUUCACAGUACUGUACAUGUAAUUAGUAGUAGAUAGUGAGUUGUUAUAGCAAGAUUAGUUUGAAAUAGAUUAGUGGAACUAUCAUAAAACUAAUAAUAAUAGACUUUUAUGCUGCAUAAUUAUAGUUUUUGCUAAGUAUAAUAAUUAUAAAGGU
Long non-coding RNA from Amphimedon queenslandica, 711 nucleotides. RefSeq lists it as uncharacterized. NCBI's taxonomy places the organism in Eukaryota, Metazoa, Porifera, Demospongiae, Haplosclerida, Niphatidae. The transcript is spliced from 5 exons. The record is from RefSeq and is a predicted model, not a curated record.